AAGCACUGCCUUUGAACCUGAUAUGUCUUGUUUGUAGCUUCACGGGCCAUGCAACAGUGCUAGAGCAUAACGACUUGUUAUAACUGGGGCUCUUCAGCUCUCAACUGAACUGCUCUUUUAAAAACAAGGUACAUUU
Small nucleolar RNA from Ochotona princeps (American pika), 136 nucleotides. The record is from Ensembl. Lineage: Eukaryota; Metazoa; Chordata; Mammalia; Lagomorpha; Ochotonidae.